This 273-nucleotide ribosomal RNA is filed under the name uncultured bacterium. Its description in RNAcentral is "partial 16S ribosomal RNA". The record is from RNAcentral.
CUGCUGCCUUCCGUAGGAGUUUGGACCGUGUCUCAGUUCCAAUGUGGGGGACCUUCCUCUCAGAACCCCUACGCAUCGUCGGCUUGGUGGGCCGUUGCCCCACCAACUACCUAAUGCGCCGCAUGCCCAUCCGUGACCGGGGUCGCCCCCUUUGGCCGGCAGGGGAUGUCCCCUCCCGGCAUUAUGUUGUAUUAGGCGGGAUUUCUCCCGGUUAUCCAUCUGUCACGGCCAGGUUGCAUACGUGUUACUCACCCGUGCGCCGGCCGCCGGCGG